RNAcentral lists this long non-coding RNA (620 nucleotides) under Drosophila guanche. Lineage: Eukaryota; Metazoa; Arthropoda; Insecta; Diptera; Drosophilidae. The record is from RNAcentral.
GGUCUGCCGCUGCCUGCCAUAAUUCUGAACGGAAGAAACUUGCUGGCAUCAGCAGCAGAGGCAUGAGGGAAGACGCAGUUGCAGACCAACAGUGGCAGUGGCAGAAGCAGCAGCAGCAGCAGCAGCAGCAGUGUGACCAUUAAUACUCAAUUGGCUGUGCUUCCCGUGUGGACUGUGGUCGUGGUCGUGGUAUCCUCCCUCUCUAUCUCUAUCUAUCUCUGUCACGCUCUCUCUCUCUCUUUCUCCUUCUCUCUCCCACUAUCUAUUCCAGGGCUUUCUCUACUUGGUUGGCUGCCGUCAUCUUUGUCGUCUUGUGCUGACACUUGAAUUGAAUCGAAAUUGGUUAUUAGCAAUUCUUACGACCGACGACAGAGUGCGGCAUGGAGUACACAUACAUAUAUAUAUAUAUAUAUAUAUGUAGGGCCGGUGUAGGAUGUUACUUGCAUCACUUGAAAAGCGAAUAUGUUGAAAAAAUCAAGUUGUCCGAGUCGUGUGUAGGUUGUAGUUCUGAAAAUGGCAAAGGCUCUUUGGUAUCCAGUGACCUGUAAGCCAUGUAAAAUGUUUAAAUAUUCCGCCUUAGAUUUGGCAUGAAGCAACUUAAAUAUUUUUUAUGGAAAUAU